CCGGCGACCGGCGCACGGGUGAGUAACACGUAUGGAACCUGCCCGCAGCAGGGGGAUAAGCGGAAGAAAUUCCGUCUAAUACCGCGUAACAACGUUGGGAGGCAUCUCCCGAUGUUUAAAGAUUUAUCGGCUGCGGAUGGCCAUGCGGCGCAUUAGCUAGUCGGCGGGGUAACGGCCCACCGAGGCGACGAUGCGUAAGGGUUCUGAGAGGAAGGUCCCCCACACUGGUACUGAGACACGGACCAGACUCCUACGGAAGGCAGCAG
This 266-nucleotide ribosomal RNA is filed under the name uncultured bacterium. RNAcentral describes it as "partial 16S ribosomal RNA". It matches the Rfam family "Bacterial small subunit ribosomal RNA", at positions 88 to 354 of the family's 1533-position model. The record is from RNAcentral.